This 966-nucleotide long non-coding RNA is filed under the name Pogona vitticeps (central bearded dragon). Its description in RNAcentral is "lncRNA (ENSPVIG00000006749.1)". Lineage: Eukaryota; Metazoa; Chordata; Lepidosauria; Squamata; Agamidae. The record is from RNAcentral.
UCAUCCACAGCACUCAUGCUAUUUAUAUUCAUUAUCUGAUUUGCAUGAACCUAUCAGAGGGCUGGGGAGGCGGAGUCAGCAGCUACCCGAGGCUUGUCAGGAGGAGGAGGGAGGAGUCAGAUGGGAAGCAGAGAGAGUGAGCCUGAAGGGGAGGUCAGUCUGUGGUCCUUAGAGAGGGUGGCAGAGUUAGGGGUUAAGAGUGUGGAACUUACGGAGAGCGAAAAGAGUUAAGAGUGAAACAAGUUAUUAAUAAUCUAAUGAAUGCAUUAAAGUCUGUGAAGAACCCGUUUAAGCCAACUGUAAUCCAUAAACCUCUGUUGUUCAACUUUAUCCUCAGCUUGGACCUCAAUCUUUCUAAUUAAAGGGUGUCGACAGAGGUCAGCGGGUGGCAGCGAGAUAAAGGACGUGUGAGCUCUGUGUUGGGUGAAACAAGCAGGGGCCAUAUGAUGAAGAACAGGAGAGGAAGAAUUGCCCAGCAACAUCUGGGGCAACCUGGGCAGGAACUCAUGAUCAAGCAAGAAAACAGAGAACUGAAAAUAGGAAUGACCAGGCAUGGACUUCACAUGAAAGGAAUAAAGCAGGGGAGAAACCACGUAAACGCAUGUCACCUCAGUAGGCAUCAAAGAACACAUGAAGGCGAGAAACUGUAUGCAGGGGAGAAUAUUCUCUGUGGCCGGCAUCUUCAGAGGACAGCACUCUGUGCUCUGGUGUAGUUAGCUAGGCACUCCCUAGAUGGAGGAUCUUCGUUGGACUGUGAGUUUUUCAGCCCAUUGUAACGCAUUAAACGUUUUUUAAUGCGUUUCAAUUUGCUUUAUUUUACCGCUUUACGAUGUUUUUACUCUACAGCUAUUUUACUGAAACGAAUUAACAUCCUUAAGUGAGGCACCACUGUAUUCGCAAUUUUGAUUAGCAUCCCCUGCAUCCCCAAUCCACAUCAUUAAUAAAAAUGUUGAAAAGCACCGGGCA